UACCCUCCACCCUGUGGAACUUAAUUUAAAUUUGGGAUAGUUUCCAUCUGAAGGUCAAUUGUCGCCUUAUGUUUUCCAAAUUCAGGGGGAAAUCUACCUAUUUGAAUGGCUUCCUCUUUCAGAGAGUGGCAUCUACCCUCUUGCAAAUUUUGUAAAUUUUUAGUGACACCAUCUCGUGUUCCCAAGGCUUCUCGUGGCUUCCUUCUCCCCUGUAGUGUCCACCUUGAAUAUUUAAAACCUCUUGGUUUCCAUUUGCCCUUUGAGCCCUAUACUCUGGGACAUCAGUGGUGCGUCCGUGUGGGACCUGUCUAGGGAGGCAGCUUCAUGUAUAACUGGCACCUCUCCCAGCAAAGACUAUAACUAUGUAUCUCCUUCGGUUUUUGUGGGGAUUUGAGGGGGGCCCACAAUAACACCUUUUAUGCAUUUAAUUUCAGACUCACUUAAGGGAGAGAUGAGAAGUCAGUAGCUGGAGAUCGUAACAUCAGCUUUAUUACUAAUCAAAACUGGACUGGGGGACAUGGCUUAGCUGCGUGACAAUGAUGGGUUUCUUUGUCCUGGGCACCACGAUUAAGGAACUGCUCCGGCCAGGCAAGGCUGCAACGCCUAUACCUGGGGCAUCCAACUAGAGGCCUUCUCUCUGCUGCCAGGCUGGCUCCAGAGAGAUAGGCAGAAAGAGACCCGCCUCAUAGCCUGGGCUCCUUCUCCAAAAUGUCUAAGAGCCUAUCUGUCAUAGACAGGAGGGGGGAGGGAGGGACCAGGGGUGUCAUGCUGACUAGUGUCCUCCCUCCUGGAAGGAGAUUAUCUGGAGCCGGGAAUGAAUGGCCCCACCCGAGGUAACCUGGCUUCUGCUCUUUCCUUCCAGUUCUCACCCACAGGAGGAAACCCAGUCUUUUCAUUUUUCAACCACAGUGACCACCGCUGCUGCUGCUGCCUCUUGGCUUUGAAUUCUGCAGGCCCAGGAAUUCUACUUCUCUGGGAUGCUUCCAGUUCAGAAGAAGGAGAUUUUCCAUGAGAUCCUUUUGAAUCACUUUAAGGAAAAUAAGGUGGAGAUAACAAGUACAAUAACAAAGCCAUUUCCCUUCCUUGAGAGCCUCAGAGAUAGCUCCUUCAUCACUGAAAAAAUCUAUAGUGAUUCUCAAGAAGCCUGUAGAAACUUGGUUCCUGUAGGGAAAGUGAUAUAUCAUAUUCUCUGUCACCUUGAGAAGACGUUUGAUAAAUCACUUCUACGAGCCCUGUUCAGCAGGGUCCAUCUGAAGGAGUAUCCUGACUUAAUUCCAAUUCAUAGAAGCUUUGAAAAUGUGAUCCAAGACACAUAUUUUUCACAGGAAAGUGAUAGAGAGACAUUGAAAUUGCCCAGCUCUGAACAAGUGCCCACUGAACCCAAAGCUCUUGGAAUGAAAAAGAGAGAUCAGGAGAGUUUCACAGCCUUUCGCUAAAUGGUAGACAAGAUCCCGUGGAUAUUGGAAACUCUUCUACUUGGGACAGACAUACUAGGAAUAAAGAUAUGUGCAAAUCUAGAAUUCUUGGUAUACAAAUGAAUCUUUAAAAAAAUCUAUGCAACAUUAAAUCCAAUUGUUUACUACAUCAUUCAAAAUAAAAUAAUAAAUUUUAAAGAGUCCAGAUUAAUCAUUUUUAUUAGUUAAGGUAGGUUAUCUGUUAUAUGAAAUAGAACCUAAACAUUUGUAAUUGCUAAAAGGAGAAGUUAUUUCUUGCUUGCAGGAACAAUCCACAGUGUUCCAGACCAUGAGUGGGAGAAGGAGUAUUGAGAAGAGGAUAGGGUGCUCUGCCCCAUGUAGUCAUUCAGAGACCAAGUGUACUAGAGACUAUGCCAUCUUCAACACUUGUCUUCCAAAAUUACCCCGGGUGAGAGACAGAGUAAAAGCCAGAAGAGAUGUAUAGAGACAGGUAGGAAGAGUAAGAAGUGGAAUGACAGUGAAGGGUCAGCAAAGUUGAAAGUGAGACAAAGCAGAACUCCCCACUGUGGGUAAAAUUUUCUGUCUCUGGAGAUAGUGCUGAAGCAACAGUAACCUCUGUAGGUGAGGUGCACGUGAGAGUCAUACCAGGGUACUUUCAGGCAGGCAUAGUCCUACCUGAGUUGCUGGAUCUUCCCUGGUCAUCCCUCACCUUCUUGUUAUGUGAUUUUCUUUUGUGUUGGCUCCUUGGGCACACAUUAAGUCCUCUAAGUGAUUUCAUUUCUCUGUGCAGAGGUUAAUAGAGAUGACACUCUGGAAGUCAGACAAGCCCCAGAAGCCUCUAGCUUUGCACUGAGAAGUGGUCCAGGUAAGGAAGAUGCAAAAUGUCCAUCAAUACAAGCUUGAAAUCAGAGCUCCUGUCUCCUGAUUAAUUGAAAGUUUUCCUCUAAGAUCAGGAACAAGAUAAGGGUACUCACUCUCACCACUUCUAUUCGACAUAGUCCUGGAAUUCCUAAUUAGAGCAAUCAGACAAGAAAAAGAGAUAAAAAAAGCACUCAAAUUGGAAAGGG
Molecule: non-coding RNA, 2482 nt
Organism: Vicugna pacos (alpaca)
Lineage: Eukaryota; Metazoa; Chordata; Mammalia; Artiodactyla; Camelidae
Source: RefSeq, a predicted model, not a curated record